Molecule: long non-coding RNA, 710 nt
Filed under: Anas zonorhyncha (Eastern spot-billed duck)
Lineage: Eukaryota; Metazoa; Chordata; Aves; Anseriformes; Anatidae
Description: lncRNA (ENSAZOG00000015463.1)
Source: RNAcentral
ACAGCAGCCGCUGCUGGAGCCAUGCGAAGUGAGCUCUGCGAGCUCUCAGGUUUCCCAAAGCACUGCAAGGGUUGCCAGUAACCGAUCUGAGUUCCCCUGCCAGCUCCUCGUUCCCCAAGGCAUCGGGAUCCCCUCCCAAGCUGAGGAGGAGCAGCCCUUGCCCGGGCUGUCCCCAUCUGCCACCACAGUGCAGCGAGGCCCAGCCACGCUCCCCUGCCCCUGCAGUCCCUGCUCGUGGGCUGUGCGGGGCUGGCAGAAACGUGCCCUGCCCCUGGCACGGGGUGCGGGGCUGCCAAACGCUGCUCCCUGCCUCACGGGGUGCGCAGCCAUCUUGUGGGUGCGUGUGUUUACCCUCGGCUGUACAACCACUUCCUGCAUGCACACACAGCAGGCAGCACGCACACACCGGGUGUGUUAGCGACCCUCAUCAUGACCAUCAUAGGCCUUGUUACCGCCAGGGGGGGAGCACGGGAGACUUUGGCAAACCUUGCUCAAAAUCCUUUAUUCUUCUUUCAGGCUUCCCCUCGGAGUGAGCUCAAAAUGGAAGACGCUAAGAUAGAAGGACCCAAGCUGAACAUCCUGCUCGUGGGCAAAACUGGAAAUGGGAAGAGUGCGACAGGGAACACCAUCCUUGGGAAGAAAGCAUUUGAAGAUAUGAUGGGAGCAUAUACAGUAACCCAAAGCUACAGUGCAGAGAGUGCCUCAUUCUG